RNAcentral lists this ribosomal RNA (424 nucleotides) under Verrucomicrobiota bacterium. RNAcentral's name for it is "Verrucomicrobia bacterium partial 16S ribosomal RNA". It matches the Rfam family "Bacterial small subunit ribosomal RNA", at positions 355 to 776 of the family's 1533-position model. Lineage: Bacteria; Pseudomonadati; Verrucomicrobiota. The record is from RNAcentral.
UGAGGAAUAUUGGUCAAUGGGCGAGAGCCUGAACCAGCCAAGUAGCGUGCAGGAUGACGGCCCUAUGGGUUGUAAACUGCUUUUAUAUGGGAAUAAAGUGAGGGACGUGUCCCUUAUUGCAUGUACCAUACGAAUAAGGACCGGCUAAUUCCGUGCCAGCAGCCGCGGUAAUACGGAAGGUCCAGGCGUUAUCCGGAUUUAUUGGGUUUAAAGGGAGCGUAGGCUGUUUGUUAAGCGUGUUGUGAAAUGUAGGAGCUCAACUUUUAGAUUGCAGCGCGAACUGGCAGACUUGAGUGCGCACAACGUAGGCGGAAUUCAUGGUGUAGCGGUGAAAUGCUUAGAUAUCAUGACGAACUCCGAUUGCGAAGGCAGCUUACGGGGGCGCAACUGACUCUAAAGCUCGAAGGUGCGGGUAUCGAACAGG